This 496-nucleotide ribosomal RNA is filed under the name uncultured bacterium. Its description in RNAcentral is "partial 16S ribosomal RNA". It matches the Rfam family "Bacterial small subunit ribosomal RNA", at positions 29 to 507 of the family's 1533-position model. The record is from RNAcentral.
AUGAACGCUGGCGGCGUGCCUAAUACAUGCAAGUCGAGCGAACAGACGAGGAGCUUGCUCCUCUGACGUUAGCGGCGGACGGGUGAGUAACACGUGGAUAACCUACCUAUAAGACUGGGAUAACUUCGGGAAACCGGAGCUAAUACCGGAUAACAUGUUGAACCGCAUGGUUCAACAGUGAAAGACGGUCUUGCUGUCACUUAUAGAUGGAUCCGCGCCGCAUUAGCUAGUUGGUAAGGUAACGGCUUACCAAGGCAACGAUGCGUAGCCGACCUGAGAGGGUGAUCGGCCACACUGGAACUGAGACACGGUUCAGACUCCUACGGGAGGCAGCAGUAGGGAAUCUUCCGCAAUGGGCGAAAGCCUGACGGAGCAACGCCGCGUGAGUGAAGAAGGUCUUCGGAUCGUAAAACUCUGUUAUUAGGGAAGAACAAAUGUGUAAGUAACUAUGCACGUCUUGACGGUACCUAAUCAGAAAGCCACGGCUAACUACGUG